UACGUAGGGUGCGAGCGUUAAUCGGAAUUACUGGGCGUAAAGCGUGCGCAGGCGGAUUGUUAAGCAAGACGUGAAAUCCCCGGGCUUAACCUGGGAAUGGCGUUUUGAACUGGCAGUCUAGAGUGCGUCAGAGGGGGGUGGAAUUCCACGUGUAGCAGUGAAAUGCGUAGAGAUGUGGAGGAACACCGAUGGCGAAGGCAGCCCCCUGGGAUGACACUGACGCUCAUGUACGAAAGCGUGGGUAGCAAAC
Molecule: ribosomal RNA, 250 nt
Filed under: uncultured bacterium
Lineage: Bacteria
Also listed under: 1 other name
Description: partial 16S ribosomal RNA
Rfam family: Bacterial small subunit ribosomal RNA
Source: RNAcentral